RNAcentral lists this RNase P RNA (347 nucleotides) under Bacteroidales bacterium. RNAcentral's name for it is "RNase P RNA component class A". It matches the Rfam family "Bacterial RNase P class A". From Rfam's summary of the family: Ribonuclease P (RNase P) is a ubiquitous endoribonuclease, found in archaea, bacteria and eukarya as well as chloroplasts and mitochondria. The record is from RNAcentral. Lineage: Bacteria; Pseudomonadati; Bacteroidota; Bacteroidia; Bacteroidales.
AAAGCAGGCCGUUCUAUCGCAGCAAUGCUGAGGAAAGUCCGGGCAACGCAGGGCGCCAUGCUUCCUAACGGGAAGUUGUCGCGAGGCAAAUAAGCGUAACAGAAAAUAACCGCCGGCCAUAACGGUGCAGGCAAGGGUGAAAAGGUAGGGUAAGCGCCUACCGGUUCCGAUGGCGACACCGGAAGCCGUACGCAUCAUGGGUUGUAAGGCCAUGUACACCGUCGUUUGAGGGUAGCCCGCCCAAGACGGGGGGUAGGCCGCAUGACUCCGGCAGCAAUGCCGGAGCAAGAUAAAUGAUAGAAUCCGGGCAACCGGAACAGAACCCGGCUUACAGGCCUGCUUUUUAU